AGAGUUUGAUCCUGGCUCAGGACGAACGCUGGCGGCGUGCUUAACACAUGCAAGUCGAGCGAUGAAACUACUUCGGUAGUGAAUUAGCGGCGAACGGGUGAGGAACACGUGAGGAAUCUGCCUUCUACACUGGGAUAACUCCGGGAAACCGGGGCUAAUACCGGAUAUGAAACUUGGUGGCAUCACCGAGUUUGGAAAGUUUUUCGGUAGAAGAUGACCUCGCGGCCUAUCAGCUUGUUGGUGAGGUAAUGGCUCACCAAGGCGACGACGGGUAGCCGGCCUGAGAGGGCGACCGGCCACACUGGGACUGAGACACGGCCCAGACUCCUACGGGAGGCAGCAGUGGGGAAUAUUGGGCAAUGGAGGAAACUCUGACCCAGCGACGCCGCGUGCGGGAUGAAGGCCUUCGGGUUGUAAACCGCUUUCAGUAGGGAAGAAGCGAAAGUGACGGUACCUACAGAAGAAGCACCGGCUAACUAUGUGCCAGCAGCCGCGGUAAUACAUAGGGUGCAAGCGUUGUCCGGAAUUAUUGGGCGUAAAGAGCUCGUAGGUGGUUCGUUACGUCGGAUGUGAAAAUCUGGGGCUCAACCCCAGACCUGCAUCCGAUACGGUCGAGCUAGAGUUUGGUAGGGGAGACUGGAAUUCCUGGUGUAGCGGUGGAAUGCGCAGAUAUCAGGAGGAACACCAAUGGCGAAGGCAGGUCUCUGGGCCAAUACUGACACUGAGGAGCGAAAGCGUGGGGAGCGAACAGGAUUAGAUACCCUGGUAGUCCACGCCGUAAACGGUGGGCGCUAGUUGUGGGAACCUUCCACGGUUUCUGCGACGCAGCUAACGCAUUAAGCGCCCCGCCUGGGGAGUACGAUCGCAAGAUUAAAACUCAAAGGAAUUGACG
This 892-nucleotide ribosomal RNA is filed under the name uncultured Actinomycetes bacterium. RNAcentral's name for it is "bacterial SSU rRNA". It matches the Rfam family "Bacterial small subunit ribosomal RNA", at positions 8 to 915 of the family's 1533-position model. Lineage: Bacteria; Bacillati; Actinomycetota; Actinomycetes. The record is from RNAcentral.